CCUACGGGUGGCAGCAGUGAGGAAUAUUGGUCAAUGGCCGGAAGGCUGAACCAGCCAUGCCGCGUGAAGGUCAGUGCCCUAUGGGCGUUAAACUUCUUUUGUGCGGGAGCAAUAAUGGUCACGUGUGGCCAGACGAGAGUACCGUACGAAUAAGCAUCGGCUAACUCCGUGCCAGCAGCCGCGGGAAUACGGGGGAUGCAAGCGUUAUCCGGAUUUAUUGGGUUUAAAGGGUGCGUAUGCGGUGAGGUAAGGCAGCGGGGAAAUGCCCCCGCUCAACGGGGUGAAGUGCCAUUGAUACUGCCUGGCUGGAGUGCGGAUGCCGUGGGCGGAAUGUGUGGUGUAGCGGUGAAAUGCAUAGAUAUCACACAGAACACCGAUUGCGAAGGCAUCUCACGAAUCCGCGAUUGACGCUGAGGCACGAAAGCGUGGGUAUCAAACAGGAUUAGAUACCCCAGUAGUC
RNAcentral lists this ribosomal RNA (460 nucleotides) under uncultured bacterium. Its description in RNAcentral is "partial 16S ribosomal RNA". It matches the Rfam family "Bacterial small subunit ribosomal RNA", at positions 338 to 795 of the family's 1533-position model. The record is from RNAcentral.